UGCAUUCAUUACUGUAAGUCGCUCUGGAUAAGAGCUUCUGCUAAAUGACUAAAA
This is a non-coding RNA of Salmo salar (Atlantic salmon), 54 nucleotides long. Lineage: Eukaryota; Metazoa; Chordata; Actinopteri; Salmoniformes; Salmonidae. The record is from Rfam.